GAUGAACGCUGGCGGCGUGCCUAAUACAUGCAAGUCGAGCGAACAGACGAGGAGCUUGCUCCUCUGACGUUAGCGGCGGACGGGUGAGUAACACGUGGAUAACCUACCUAUAAGACUGGGAUAACUUCGGGAAACCGGAGCUAAUACCGGAUAAUAUAUUGAACCGCAUGGUUCAAUAGUGAAAGACGGUUUUGCUGUCACUUAUAGAUGGAUCCGCGCCGCAUUAGCUAGUUGGUAAGGUAACGGCUUACCAAGGCAACGAUGCGUAGCCGACCUGAGAGGGUGAUCGGCCACACUGGAACUGAGACACGGUCCAGACUCCUACGGGAGGCAGCAGUAGGGAAUAUUCCGCAAUGGGCGAAAGCCUGACGGAGCAACGCCGCGUGAGUGAUGAAGGUCUUCGGAUCGUAAAACUCUGUUAUUAGGGAAGAACAAAUGUGUAAGUAACUAUGCACGUCUUGACGGUACCUAAUCAGAAAGACACGGCUAACUACGUG
This 497-nucleotide ribosomal RNA is filed under the name uncultured bacterium. RNAcentral's name for it is "partial 16S ribosomal RNA". It matches the Rfam family "Bacterial small subunit ribosomal RNA", at positions 28 to 507 of the family's 1533-position model. The record is from RNAcentral.